Molecule: non-coding RNA, 79 nt
Organism: Blastosporella zonata
Lineage: Eukaryota; Fungi; Basidiomycota; Agaricomycetes; Agaricales; Lyophyllaceae
Source: the annotation of a GenBank genome assembly
GGCGCUAUAGUGUAGUGGUUAUCACCCGGGAUUUUGACAUGAAGUUCCCGAAACCCAGGUUCGAACCCUGGUAGUGCCU